Molecule: long non-coding RNA, 886 nt
Organism: Leopardus geoffroyi (Geoffroy's cat)
Lineage: Eukaryota; Metazoa; Chordata; Mammalia; Carnivora; Felidae
Exons: 4
Source: RefSeq, a predicted model, not a curated record
UCCCCGGACUACUUUGGAAUGUCCACAAAUCAGAAGCAGACUCAAACCAGAGGAAUAAAAAUGUGUCAUCCUCUGAAUCAUCUCACCCCAGAAAUAUGAAGAAGCCAGCCCUGCUAUUCAUGAAGCUUCUUUCUCAAUGUUUCCUGUAGGUGUGGAAGCAGCAGCUGCCGCCCUGAGAGACCAGAUACCUUAUCUGAGGACUCCACGCACCCCUGCUUGGUGAGCCUUCAUGUUACAGAAAGCAAACCUCAUCCAGCCCUAUCCUCAAAAUACUGUCUGGGGAAUUGCGUGUUUAUGGACUAAACCUGGAUAGUACACAUGAUAAAAGAACAUAGUCCCUGGAUGCAAAAUGAAUAAGUAAGAUAUACCUCACAGAAGCACACCUAUUGCAAAUCUGGAGCCUCAAGUUUAAUUGCCUUGAACUUGAACAGUGACAGAGCAAGAAAGGUAAAACACCAUAGAGGUUGCAGAAUAUCCUGCUUGAAGAGGAAGAAGAAGGGGAAGAUGACAGCCAAGAGGACAUUUCUGCUGUGCCUUGAAGGACGGACUGAAUUUUUCCAGGUAGAGAUGGGACUGGUAGUGUGGAUCUGGAACAGCAUGAAAAAACACACAUGGUUAAGAAAGGACACAGCACAUGCAGAGAAAAUGAGACACCUGGUACACGAAAGGAAACAGCACCCAGAAAUUAAGCAUUAACUUAUUUACUGGAGAGCAAUUGAGUUACACUAAUCAGUUACUUUCUUAGAGUUUCCUGCAUGGAGGGAUGAGAAAAACCAGGGCUCAGAGUGGCAUGGAUGUAAAUCCUAGCCUACAUGUAUAAAUCACUCAUUCGAUUAUGCACUUUUUUUUAAGUUUUCUUUUUAAAAUUUUUUUAAAAAUCCAAGUU